GCGGCGAGAGAAACGGGUACAGGCCAAACCAACAUGCUUGCAUGUUGGGGUUGUAGGACUGAAAUAUAGGACAAACGAUGUUAACGAAAUGAGUUGGAAAGCUCAGCCAUAGAAGGUGAUAGCCCUGUACGUGAAAACAUCAAUUGCCUUAUCAGUAUCCUGAGUACAGCGGAACACGAGAAAUUCCGUUGGAAUCUGGGAAGACCAUUUCCCAAGCCUAAAUACUACCUAGUGACCGAUAGUGAACCAGUACCGUGAGGGAAAGGUGAAAA
This 272-nucleotide ribosomal RNA is filed under the name Schizochytrium aggregatum. RNAcentral's name for it is "partial Bacterial large subunit ribosomal RNA". It matches the Rfam family "Bacterial large subunit ribosomal RNA", at positions 246 to 520 of the family's 2925-position model. Lineage: Eukaryota; Bigyra; Thraustochytrida; Thraustochytriidae. The record is from RNAcentral.